Molecule: ribosomal RNA, 254 nt
Filed under: uncultured bacterium
Lineage: Bacteria
Description: partial 16S ribosomal RNA
Rfam family: Bacterial small subunit ribosomal RNA
Source: RNAcentral
UACGGAGGGUGCUAGCGUUGUUCGGAAUCACUGGGCGUAAAGGGCGCGUAGGCGGCUUUGGCAGUCGGCUUGUGAAAGCCCGGGGCUCAACCCCGGAGGUGCGGCCGAUACACCAAGGCUGGAGGCCGGAAGAGGAGGGUGGAAUACCCAGUGUAGAGGUGAAAUUCGUAGAUAUUGGGUGGAACACCGGUGGCGAAAGCGGCUCUCUGGUCCGGUCCUGACGCUGAGGCGCGAAAGCGUGGGGAGCAAACAGG